GACACAGGUAGUCAAGAUGAGAAUUCUAAGGUGAGCGAGCGAACUCUCGUUAAGGAACUCGGCAAAAUGACCCCGUAACUUCGGGAGAAGGGGUGCUCUUUAGGGUGCAAGCCCAGAAGAGCCGCAGGGAAUAGGCCCAAGCGACUGUUUAUCAAAAACACAGGUCUCUGCUAAACCGUAAGGUGAUGUAUAGGGGCUGACGCCUGCCCGGUGCUGGAAGGUUAAGAGGAGU
RNAcentral lists this ribosomal RNA (232 nucleotides) under Staphylococcus haemolyticus. RNAcentral describes it as "partial 23S ribosomal RNA". It matches the Rfam family "Bacterial large subunit ribosomal RNA", at positions 1656 to 1887 of the family's 2925-position model. The record is from RNAcentral. Lineage: Bacteria; Bacillati; Bacillota; Bacilli; Caryophanales; Staphylococcaceae.